Molecule: long non-coding RNA, 783 nt
Organism: Brassica oleracea var. oleracea
Lineage: Eukaryota; Viridiplantae; Streptophyta; Magnoliopsida; Brassicales; Brassicaceae
Exons: 3
Source: RefSeq, a predicted model, not a curated record
CGAGACAUUAAAAAACGACCACAUACAUUUGAGUACAGAUUUUAACACUCACAACUUUUAACAACCAACUUUUAGCACUAGAUUAUUUUAAAACAUGUAACUGGAAGUUUCUUUUGGCUUGGAAAUCUUUUUUCAUGUAAUGACUGUCUUAGCGAAUGGCAGGUGUGCUGUUGGGAACUGCUAUAUCCUGCGUAAAGAUCAUAAAUAUGUUGUUAAGAUGUCAGCGAGCUAUUCAACUGAAUGAAAUACCAAGUUAUGCACAUAUGCUUUCUGGUCACGACGUUUCGUAGAGGCCAGUAUAUCUAUCUUCUAAGCUGGGAAAAAAAUGGGACAAGCUGGAAGCUGAAGUGAAGAAACAUGUUCCUCUUUUAGCUCCAGAGGCUUUGGCUUUGUUUACUUUUUAUACUAUUUCUAACUAUCGUUUUUGAAAGUAUAGUGCAAGAUAGGAUGAAAAGCUAGAUGGACAUGCAGGUAUAUAUGAGCAAGUUUUCCAGUGAUAUAUUCAAAGUACGGAUGAGAACGUGACGCAAAUCAUGAACAAAUAAAUCAUUUGUAAGACAAUUUACUUUCUCGGGUGGUUUUGGGUGUGACGUUCGAAGUUGAGAAUGAUAAUGUUGACUACAAAAGGGAGAGUGGUUAGGAGUCCGAAAGAGGACGAGAAGAAAAAUUUCUCUUAAACCUAAGUUAAAAGGAUUUCUUCGUUAAAAUGUAUACAGUCUUCUUUUUCUUUGUUGGACAACCCCAUAGAGUAUAUCCUUUUCAAGUUCCAAAAUAUAUACGAGU